RNAcentral lists this transfer RNA (74 nucleotides) under Ruminococcus sp. Its description in RNAcentral is "tRNA-Gly". It matches the Rfam family "tRNA". Rfam says of the family: Transfer RNA (tRNA) molecules are approximately 80 nucleotides in length. Their secondary structure includes four short double-helical elements and three loops (D, anti-codon, and T loops). RNAcentral also lists the same sequence under 1 other name. Lineage: Bacteria; Bacillati; Bacillota; Clostridia; Eubacteriales; Oscillospiraceae. The record is from RNAcentral.
GCAGGUGUAGUUUAAUGGUAAAACAUCAGCUUCCCAAGCUGAGGUCGGGGGUUCGAUUCCCCUCACCUGCUCCA